RNAcentral lists this long non-coding RNA (231 nucleotides) under Physcomitrium patens. Its description in RNAcentral is "long non-coding RNA (PPAT_LNC012542)". The record is from RNAcentral. Lineage: Eukaryota; Viridiplantae; Streptophyta; Bryopsida; Funariales; Funariaceae.
AUAUUAUAACACCUAUGGUUAUCUUCAUUGUACCGCAUGUACCUUGGAAUCUAAGACCGAUUCCAGUACCGAGGGCACAUUUACCUAAAUUGGUGGAACUAUUGAAAGAAAAGAUAAAGAUGAAAAUAUUAGAACCUUCAUUUGCGCCGUAUUCUAGUCGAUGGUUUAUGGUACCUAAGAAGAAUGGGUCACUGCGGUUUAUUCAAGAUAUGCAGCCAGUGAAUGCUGUAA